This 499-nucleotide ribosomal RNA is filed under the name uncultured bacterium. Its description in RNAcentral is "partial 16S ribosomal RNA". It matches the Rfam family "Bacterial small subunit ribosomal RNA", at positions 899 to 1397 of the family's 1533-position model. The record is from RNAcentral.
ACUCAAAUGAAUAGACGGGGGCCCGCACAAGCGGUGGAGCAUGUGGUUCAAUUCGAAGCAACGCGAAGAACCUUACCAGCCCUUGACAUGUCUCGUAUGGUUGCCAGAGACGGUGACCUUCCCGCAAGGGGCGAGAACACAGGUGCUGCAUGGCUGUCGUCAGCUCGUGUCGUGAGAUGUUGGGUUAAGUCCCGCAACGAGCGCAACCCUCGCCUUUAGUUGCCAUCAUUUAGUUGGGCACUCUAAAGGGACUGCCGGUGAUAAGCCGGAGGAAGGUGGGGAUGACGUCAAGUCCUCAUGGCCCUUACGGGCUGGGCUACACACGUGCUACAAUGGCGGUGACAGAGGGAAGCGAGAGCGCAAGCUUUGGCUAAUCUCUAAAAGCCGUCUCAGUUCGGAUUGGGGUCUGCAACUCGACCCCAUGAAGUUGGAAUCGCUAGUAAUCGCGGAUCAGCACGCCGCGGUGAAUACGUUCCCGGGCCUUGCACACACCGCCCGU